Long non-coding RNA from Ipomoea triloba (trilobed morning glory), 376 nucleotides. RefSeq lists it as uncharacterized. The transcript has 2 exons. The record is from RefSeq and is a predicted model, not a curated record. Lineage: Eukaryota; Viridiplantae; Streptophyta; Magnoliopsida; Solanales; Convolvulaceae.
CUGCGCCAACGCCUUCGUUUCCGCUGCAGAAAUCGCUAACUAUUUGCGCCACAAUUAUCCUCAAUUUCCAGUCAACCUGCAAGACCAAGAUUGCAUGAGGAAUGGACCUGAUGAGCAACAAGUGAUGUUGAAUUAUGAAAAGCUUCUUAACAAAGGGUUCACAUACAAAAAAUCCUUGAAAGAUGUGGUAGAUGAUUCUAUUAGUUGUGGGAUGAGAUUUGGACAUCUCUAACUAGUCAAGCCAAAUCAAAAUACAUAAAUUGAAUCUAUAUGUAUUAUGUCUUAUUAUGUAUAUAGUUUGCCGUUUGAAAUAAUACCUAGGUGUAUUGGAUCACACUUAAAUGAUUAUGAGCUCAAUAAAUUUUUGAGUUUGUUA